AAGACACAUGCAGUUAACUCCAGAAUUACCCCAAACGCAAAUUGUUUACUGCUAUAUUUACAUUCAGACAUUCUGAUGAUUGUUUAUUUACAUAUUUAUUUAUUAUCUGCUGAUUCUAUGGUAAAGGUGGAAAUGAACAGGAGCUUCCUGAUGAUUCAGCGCUGACAGGAGAAACGUGUAGACUCUAUACAAUGAGAAUAAAAUCACUAACUGCCAUAUUCAGUGUUAAUAAGUCUGGGCGCAUGUGCCCAUUGUCUAAGCUUUCCUUUCAGCACUACGCAUGUGGACAGCAAUCCUCUUAUUUGCAUUGUUUUUUAUUUUCCCCCUCUAAAUUCUUCCUCAGAUAAAUGCAUCCCAGACUGUAUUUGAUUUAUGUUUAAAGUAAUUAAAAAAUCUGUUUUUCUUCUGGUCAGUGGGAACAUUUUUUAUUGUUAGCUAUGUAUUUAUUAGAGACAAGAACAGAAAAUAACUAUGGGGUGCAUAUUCUCUUCAUCUCGCUCUAUCUAUAUAUUUAAAAAUAGUCGGAAAAGACGAGAAACUGCGAGCAAAUCGGAGUUUUGGCAGCAAGAGUGUCUGCAGAUGUGAACACAUUCACACAUACCAUCUCUCCGCCCUCCCUCAGAAAUCAUAUUUAACUAAGAUUAUGUCAAAUUUCAAAGAUCGGAAAUGUCUUGCCCAAAAGCCUUUCCCAUAGGAAAAAGUCAAAAGGGUUCCUGGCAUUAAAACGACUUCGCGUCAGUCCUGAUGAAAUUAGCAUCCCUGCGUUUUUAGAUACUUGUUAUGGCUGUACUUUGAUCACAGUAAGAAGGAGUAAGAGUUUUUUUUAUCCCCCAGUUGAACAGGAGUGUUCUGCUUUUCUAGAUGGGAAUCCAGAGACAAACAUGUUAAAAGCCUUUUAGACUUACAGGCUGUAUUUUUACUUUUCUUUAAGUGCAAGUGAUAGGAAUUGCUAACCCUGGUCAAGAAAAUUUCAUUUCCCCCAUCCUGCUAAACGGCUCUGGUCGACAUAUGUUUAUUAUCAGAGAGAGGUGCUAUGAACACAGAGCCAUUUUCUUAGCAGCUUUUUGACUGUAUGUUACCAUAGUCCCACACGGCAUUGGUCCUUUCCCAUUGGGAAGUCAUGAAUAAGAGACUAUGAAGCUUGCACGUCAGGUCUUCCUCAAUUAAUCCACCGUUAGCAUGUUUGGGAUCCACUACUGGAUGGUUAACAGCGGCUUGGGUAACUGUAUGCUGUCCAUACCCAAUUAUGCUCUGCUAAAAAUGAACUCUGCAGACCAACCUUCUUGAGCUGUCAGUGUCUCCCGUUUUCCCAUUUUAACGUUCGCAUGUAGUGGCAGGCGACAGAUGGUGUAGAUCAGAUCGAUUUGAUUGCAUUAGGCCAUUUUUCCCCUCCUUUCCGUCCGACUCCUUUUCUGGAAGCCCACAUCAUCUGAAAGGCGAUCGCCGGGGACUCGGAAAGCACCAGCAGCCGCCGAUGUGUGAAGGCAACUGGGCACGGCCAGGCAGAGGCGCCGGGCUUCGUUCCCAGGGCGCAGUAAUCCGGCACCAGGAGAGAAAGCUGCGUUCUGCUGCCCAGAGCCUAUUCCCCGCCACAUAUCAGAUGACUCCCUGGUUUUACACACAGUUGGAGUUCUGCUUGAAACCUGGAUUUAAAGGGGAUCUGUUGCUGUGAGUGACAUCUAUUCCAAGCACCCAGAGAGAACUGAUGGAGCACACAGAUGGGAAUAGGAUGCCAGGCAAGCACAGAGGAAGAAAUCAGGGAAUCACCAGGACUGGAAGUACAGCAGCCAUUGGAUAAUGGGACGGGAUCAGUCGGCAACUCUGUGGAUUCUCCUCCUUCCUCUGUAGGGGAAAUAUAGUUAUGGAUUUAUUGCCCCGGUGCAGCAGUUCCAGCAGCAGCAGCAGCAGCAGCAGCAACAGCAAAAGCCUCAGCAGAUUUCUGACUCUCUUCGGUGACGGGUAUUCUUGGGUGGAUAAUACGGAUUACGUUGUUAUUGCUUAAGAAUACGCGUAGUCGAGGAGAGUACCCGCGGCAGGCAGGCAGGCAGGCAGCGGCCGCCCCCAGCCCAGCAGCUGGCUCCUAAUCUACUAUAGUUGCCAAGGUAGUCCCUUUUUAAUCUUUUCCUGCACUUUGCUAUGUCUCUAUGUCUGUGAUUAGGUGAUCCCAGGGGUUGCUAUGUACACGGCAGGGGUAGGAGACUCUGGUGAUGAGCCUAGUCUUGUGCAUCCUAGGGUAGUUCCCCAGGCUUCUCUUUCCCCAAAGCGUGUGAGCGUGACAGGCUGCAGCGCCAAGCCCGUGUCUGGCUGGGACAGUGCCGAGUCGAAAGGGAGGGGGAGGAGGAGGAUGUGUCUAUGACCUUUGUCCUCAUGUGUCCGCGACCCCCUCCCCAUGAAUGCUGUGAAAUACUGAGCUGUCUUUCUGGUUUGGGCACUUAGCAGAGCGCCAGGCGAUGGCCCUGGGGUAGGCAGGGAGGAGAGAAAACCUCCCGCGACCUAAACCCGGGGGAGAAAAGGGGACUCGCCUGAGAUCGGCGUUGUAAUCUGUUGCUGGAGCUGCAUGGUUGCCAGGGAGUCUGUAGGGAGCUGCCUGGCUGGUCUCCCGAUGGUGGCAGGCAGGUGUCGAGGGCUGGGAACGGGGUUGAAAGACGAUUAGACGAGCUCAGAGGGGGGCCCAAUCCCGCAACUCUUGCUCAGGCAUCCUGCCCAUUGGCUUCCACUGGAGAUUACAUCAGUUUCCGUGGGAGUUUUGGGUGCGCAGGGGACCCAGACUGGAGACUCACUGGAUAGUACUCGAAUUACCCCUUGAACCCUCUUGCGCCGAUUCCCUUAGAGAAGGCGAGCAGAGAAACACGAUCCCUGGUGCAGUGCAGAACCCGGCAUAGAGAGCGCGCGACAAAGCUGCGCCAGGACGGGCACAAGCAGUUGUUUGCUGAUGAUCGGGUUACACGUAGUCGCCUUUAUUCCCUGUGUGGGUCUGGCUAGCCAUGGGCUAAGCAAGCAGCCUAGGCACUAUUUGGCCUGUGCAAAUUCACUUCGCAGGGCAUCAGUACCCAGAACACACAGUCCGCCUGCCCACGCUGCCAGUGCAUCGUAACGUUUCAAAUAUGGGUCCGAAGCAGGUUUUUUAUUCUCCUUCAUAGGGUCUGAUCCUGGCGGCCGAGGGGGCUCGCUCCUCCGUGGCGUUGGUCCCUGGUGUCAGAGACCCCACAGUAGAGCUCACCCCGCUUCCCCCCAUGCUGCACUCUCCUGGGAGUGGUGCUCCCGGGGUCCGGGACCGCACAGCGCACCCAUCGCCUGAAUUCCGCCGGGGACGUUUCUUGCCCUAAUCCUUCUCUAUGGGUUCAGGGAAGCUCAGCUCAGUAGCUGGGAAAAGAGAAGACAAACCCCCGCCUAAAGACAGAGACAUGGGAAACGCUGUCAAGCCCUGGUCUUGGCAAGAAGCAACAUGGGGCCAGAGCUAGCACGCCAGCGAGUGCCCUAGAGCCCCUGGUUUCUAAUGCAAGGAGCGCAGAGGAGGAAAUAAACACUCCAAAGAGAUCUCCUGGCCUCCAGUAGAAGGCUACAGGUCUCAUGAAUUCCUGGGGAACUCAAGUGACAGAGUUAAUCUAAAGAGCAGCUACCCAAAGGCGUUACACCUGCUGGAGCAUUCAUAUAGGUACAGCCAGACAGCGAUAGACGAGGAAUUUGCUGUUGAGUUAAAACUUCCCCAUGGCAGAGUAUUUUCUGAUUUCUGCUCAUCCUCUCACUUCAUCUUUUCCCUUAAUUAAGCAAAUGAACCUCCAGCCUAAAUUGCCAACUUUCGCUUAUAAGCCUUUCCUGACAAGAACAACGCAAACUUCUUUUUUAGCAAAUCCGCCUCCAAGUCAAAGUAUAUCCCCAUGGUCCCCUUUUUAACAUUGCAAACUGCUGGUGUAGUCUGUGGCCUUCUGCAACUGCCGCCCACAGCCAGAACGAGAGCCCGUUGGGGCAAUGUCAUAUUAAGAAAUAAUAGGCAGGCGCAAGAAAGCAAAACAAUUUUUCCCUUCUGGGGUCUUUUUUCGGGGGGGGGGGAGUGGAGGAAGGUUGUUACACAGUUUGAAUUUUGUUGAGCUCAAAAGGCGAUAACAGAUUUUGUCCCGCCCACACGCUUCAGGGAUCCCAACUUCCUUGCUAGCCUGUCACGGUUUUUACCAUGGUGCCUCUAGCCCAGUCGGCCGCGUUCGAGCUGUUCACAGCAUCUUCUCUGGACUGAAACGAGAGUUUGAUGCAUGUCGCCCAGUGUAGGGAAACGGAGGCAGGGGCCUUUUGGAAGGAGCCUUUUAUGGCGACAGCACAAUAGGCACUGCCUGGCUUUGCUUUGCUUUGUUUUGUUUUUUAAAUAGAAAGCCGCCUCCCCUUUUCAGAGAGAGCACACGAGAGGAGAGAAAAGUGUUCUGUCCAGCUUGAUACUUCUGCGAUCGGUGCUGAGGGAAAGCCAUUGUCCGUCGCACCCGGGGCACUGUGUCCGGGCUAAAACCUACAGCAAGGGCUCAUUAGAAGGGAUUCCUGGGGGAAUGUCAGAAAAUUCCUGGGCGGGAGACCUAAAUCUAAAAGAAAUCAUAGCAAACCCUAUUUAACUGAACCACACGAUAUGCUGGACCUUGUAGUAGUGAUUGAUCUAGAAUGCUUAAUCAACAUCAAUAGCCUUUCUCCAUAAGUUCCCAACAGGAUGCAGCACUAGAACUGUGCAAAUGUAUUUGCCAGUUUAAGAGCUUUUCUUUUUUUAACAAUAAUAUGUAAAGCAAAAAGCGAAUAGCUUUAGAAAGAGAGGGAGGAAAUUAAAAUUUUAAAUCACAAUUGGAUGAUUUAUCUUGGGAAUUAACUAUUUUGCUUCAGGAGAUAACCUCUUUGCAUAGGCUGCCAUUCCCCACUGGUCAGUCCUGCACAAGAUUUGAAUCUGUAGAGUAACUGCAUUGUAUGUGCUAUUCAGCUGGAUACAGGUGCUGACACUGGCUGAGCCUGAAUGUCUUGUCGUGUGUUACCGUGUAACAGUAAACAGUCUUUACUCAGCUGCAGCUGGGUGUGCAAAGGGUGAAUAGUGCUAAAAUGAGCUUUCUUUACUACUAGCGCUGAACUAAAUCCUGAAGUCCUCGUCUCCCAAUACCAUUUAUGCUUUAGGUGACAGUAAAACAAAUGGCCUGGCUGCAUAAGCUCUCGUUUUUCCUUCUUUUGUCAGUCAAGAAAUCCCAGCCCCUAAGUUUGUGGUUUAUAGUUUGUGGCCCUGACUUUCUCUGGAGUAUAUCACAGCCACAAAGCUGGGGUUGCCAGUUUGAUCUCUUCAUGUAAAAUCAAAUGUAGGCAAAGAGAUCCCUGUCGGCUACACAGAAGGGGAAAGUUCAUGUCGGGGCCUUAUCCCAGGAAGUGUAUGGAAUAAAAUAGCCUGAAAUGCGAGAGGCGGGCAGGCUGAUGUGAAAAAAAUAGGCUGCAGGGCUAAACUUCCCAGUUUUAUAAGGUAACAAAGGUGGGGCAUAGUUUGGACAAAACAGGUACACUCGGCCCACUUAUUCCAGCCAACAUAGCUUAGCAGCACAGCUAGAGCUCUGGCUGGAAGUUGGGUUAACGUUUAAACUGCAGAGCUCAGAUUGGAAGUCAAAGCCAUGGCAUUCAUACCCUCAACUUCCAGUUCAUUCUCUCUCCGUCCCACUCCACAUACAGUAGACACAGAGACUUAGAUAGGCACACAGGCGCACUCAUCCACAGGUUUUUUUUCUGCUUUUUUCUUUUUAAACUGGUAAUAGCGGGGAGCCUGGCAUAAUCCACCCAGUCUUUUUCCCUUCCCUCUUCAAAGGCAUAGAUAAUGCCACUUCUUUUGAUGCUACCCAUGUAUAAAUGUGAGCGCAGUGAAUUAGAUUAGAAGCCAUUUUAGGCAAACACAGAAGUGUGGUGAUGGAAUAGGAUAUUUUAGGAUGGAGCCUUCCAUAUACUCAGUUAUGAUGAUGAUUAUUUUUAACAAUGAUAGUCAAGAUUUUAGUGGUGAUGAAUUUGCGCAUAUAAGGUGGGGCUCGUCGAGAAUUUCCCUCUCUUGCAUAGCAGUUGAAAGACCAUCUAUGUUCAGCUUAAUUAUUUCAAAGUGCUAAAGGACUUUUACCCUUCAAUAGAGAGUGGAGCUCUCAUUGUGACACAGACAUAUGUAGAUCUGUUAUUCUUUAGACAUUUUGUUUGAUAACAGCACUGUGAUCAUCUUGGUUCUCUAAUAUCACUUGAAAGCAGUUUUUAUUUGUAGUUUCCUAUGUUCAGCGGCUGCAGAAAUAAUGUGAAAUUGCACUUUAAAAAGUCACGCAGAAAGCUAAGAUCAGUUGCUAAAUGAUAGUCAGUUUCAGCACCGUCACACACCUAUGUUCAUAAUUGCUGCAAGAACAGCAAUUGAAACGCCAGGUUUAUAUUAUAAACCUUCCUCUGAUCUAAGCUUUUAGUUGACAUUUUCCCUUGAGUCAUGACUUAGAGUAUUAUCAUGAGUUCCCCUUUCAUCACACAAAGGAUGUGGUUUUGUUUGCUUUUUUGUUUUGGUUGAGUAUCUUGUGCAGUAAAGAUUGGACUUAGUUUUAUCCAUAUAUAUAAGCUUAGCAAAACAUCUUGUUGUACUUUGUUUCUUAUAGCUACUUUCUCUUUAAUAUGAUUAGCUGUUUCUGCUGAAUAAUACCUUAAUGAUAGGGCUGAUGCAUUUUUAAUGCAUGUACUCUUUGUCAUUGACUAAAUUAACAUUUUGAUGAUUGUAGAUUUUUUUCCCCUCUAAAAUCUUUAGGGGAUUGCUAUGUUAUGUGCUUACUAACAGCUGAAAUAUAAAGUCUGAUCAGAGAAAUAUUAAGUGUGGUCAUCAAAAUUAGUUGGAAAAAUGUUGUUUAAAUGCUCAAUUGCAUAAAGGCUGCUAGAAUUACAUUUCCCAACAGCCUCCUUAAAGAAACAACCUUUGAGUUUCAGUAGUAACUCUUGGGAUCUGACACACACACGUUUACAUCCAAACUCAUAAAAAUCAGCUAGGUUUGACUUCCAAGCAACACAUCAAUAAGAAUAAGCUGUGCAUACAAAGGGCCUGUUUCUGUGAACAUUUGGCUUCAGUGGGACUUUUUGUGGGAACACAGUUACUCAUGUAUACAGCUAAAGGAUUCAGGGCCCAGUUCUCCCAUUCAAGUCAAUGGCAUAACACCAACUGACUUCACUGUGGACAGGAGAGGGUCCUAGUUCUAAAGGUUUUUAACAAGAUUUAUAGCAUUUAUUUCACUAGUUUUACAUGUGAACCCUGACCACCGAAAGUUUAAUCUGUUCUGUAAAUGUCUUAAUCCUGUAAAGACUUGCAUCUAUGAGUAACUUUACACAUAUGAGUAGUCAAUAGGACUACUGUGUGACUAAAGUUACUGGUGUGUAAUUCUUUGAAGGAUCAGGGCCUUCUUUUGUAAAUGUAACUGGCUUUAGGAGUAAGUCCAUAAAAACAAUCAAAUGCUACCCUGACUUAGAAGUCUGAUCCUGCAAAUUGCUGAGCCAUUCUUGAGAGAUGCUGAAUGCUUUCAGCUCCCACUGAUUUCAACAGGAAGUGAGACCACUCAACCCUUUGCAGGAAUGGGCCAUUAAGCCUGUAUAAGUCCAUAGGAAUUGCAUGGGUGCAAAUGAAAGCAGAAUAUGUCCCAAGAGAAGAUUUGCUUUAUUAAAAAUAGGAGAAUUCAUUUCUAUUUUCCAUUGCAGUCAAAGAAACACCACCCUGCGUUGGUCUACUCACAGUAGCUAGCACUGCCCUUGGUAGUAAGCGUUUGCAAACUCAGGUCCUAAAUUAAUUGAUCUGCACUUCAGUCUGAUUUCAUGUACCCUUUCCCAUAACAAACACCUCUCUGAUACAGGUAAGUACACUUUACAGAAGGGCAAAUACAUGAAAAAUGGAUCUUGCUGCUAUAAGGCUGAUUCAAACAAAAAAAUCUAACUUUUGCAGUCCCGACAUAGGCUAAAGUCCCACUGACCUCUGCAAGGACUGCAGGAUUAGACUGUGAUCUAUGUUCCAUAGCCUCCUCCCACAUGCAAAUUUGUCAAAAACAAGGGUCAUACCACAAGGUACAGCACAAUAGCUGGAUUGCAUCAGGUUAGGCAGGUUUUAUUCCUUUCUGACCAAUCCUGCUUUCUGAUGCAUCCAAGAGCCUCACUGAUUUCAAAGGGCAUUUGGGGUUCACAUAAAAUGUAGGAACAGACACUAGCCUUUCAGAUUUUAUGCUCAAGUUAUUUCUAUAAUAUUUAAUUGCACUUCACCAGCCUAGGUGACUGCCAAGAUUCAGAGAAUUUUCUUCAAGAAACACACAUAAUCUGUCAUCUAUCCCUCUGCACCUUUAAUUGUGCUUCAUGAGGACUAAGCAAACUGGCCUUUUCCUUUAGAUUUAAAUCUCCCAUUAUUGUAUAGCUAUACAGUUGGAAUUUUAUGUUUUGCAAGCAUUGUAUACAAUUAUACAGUGGGCUUCUGUAUCAUUUUUUUAAAAUGUAACAUUUUAUUAUAAAGCAACAAGAAGAGAUUUAUUAUAUUUAGCUAUUAUAUUAUCUGCUAACAUUUUUUUGAAACUAUAACACCAAUUACAGAUCAUCACAAAAUGUUACAGGAUUCAACUUUUACUCCCUCAAACAUUUAAAUAUGGAAACAUUUAUUAGAGAAUCUCCCCUGAACCUUACAUUCCUUUAAUAUUUAUGAUUUAGAAACCAAAGUUAUUCAAAACUCAAAUGUCUCAUUGGUCUAGUGUGCAUUUUAUCAUAUAACUAACAUCCAUAGAUAUGAAAUGAAACAAUAUGAAACAGUGGGCCCUAGAGAAAUUAGGGUAAUAGGUGGAAAAUAGCAAAAGGACUCAGAUUGGAAAAGAAUCAGAGUUCACAUCAACUCUGGAGAAAUAGCCUGAAACACACGUAUUCAAAGGGAGCGAGAAUCCUGGAGAAGUGUAAAGCUGUAAGAGGCCUAGAGGUGACAGUGGAGAGUAAAUUAGACAUUACUUUGCAAAAUGAUAUGGCAGGAAAAACCACUAAUGACAUUUGGGGCUGAAUGUGCAGAGAUAUUGUAUCAGAAAACAGACUGGAAAAAUCAUGCAACAGCUGUGUGUGUGAUCUCACUUGGAUUAUUAUAUUCAGUCUGGGGAUUAUAUUUCCAAAAAUAUAGUGACCAGUUGGUGGCAGAUGAGAGAAGAACAGAAAAAAAUAAUCCAAGGGGUGGAUGGACUGAUUUAUUAGUAAGUAAGAGAGCCAAUGGUUUAAAUGAAAGCAAUGAAUAACCAAGAUUUCCAUUCUAGAAGGGAGAGAGCCUUUGCAGGGUGAUGCAUGAGGGCAUGUCUGGGACACAUGGGAUGAAAUUAAGAAAGGUAAAAUUCCAGCUGGAUUUCAAGAAAAACUUCCUUUAAGUGGGCCCAAUACUGCUCCCAUUUUAGCCAAUUGGAGACUAUAGAAAGCAGUGAAAGAGCCUCCAAGGGGAAACCUCUUGACUUGGGAAAUUUAAAACUAGAUUGGCCAAACUACUAGAAAAGGUACUGCAGGGAACAAUCAUCCUGCAUUGUCAGGGAGAUUGAAUUUUAGAGGUCUUUCUCAUCUCUAAAUUCUGUGAUAUGAUUCUAUGAAAUUGAAAUGACUCCGGUAUUUCUCUGAUAUUUUGUGCCAUUAGAAAGAAGUAGGGCCAUUACUGUCUUUGAAAGUUUCCAAGUAACUCUGUCCAAGUGAGUAUAUUUCAGAUGCACUGUAGAAACUCAUAUCCAUCUUAGUCUCUUAUCUGUUUCAAAGUCAGUUGUCACCAUAAAUUGUUCUGUAUUAGUUUAUUUGAAUUUAUAUGUAAUGUAUACCCCUUUCAAAUUAUUAAACAUUAGGUAUGAAAUCA
This is a long non-coding RNA of Chelonoidis abingdonii (Abingdon island giant tortoise), 9838 nucleotides long. RefSeq lists it as uncharacterized. The record is from RefSeq and is a predicted model, not a curated record. Lineage: Eukaryota; Metazoa; Chordata; Testudines; Testudinidae.